Non-coding RNA from Phrynosoma platyrhinos (Desert horned lizard), 72 nucleotides. The record is from the annotation of a GenBank genome assembly. NCBI's taxonomy places the organism in Eukaryota, Metazoa, Chordata, Lepidosauria, Squamata, Phrynosomatidae.
GCUAGAAUGGUGUAGUGGUUUGAGCAUUGGACUACCACUCUAAAGACCAGGAUUUGAAUCCCCGCUCAAACA